CAUAGAUUAUCCCACUCUGUUGAGCUGAGCGUCCCGUAAACCUCUAAGAGAGGCUAUGCAGAUAUGACAGGUCCUGAUUUUAUAGCCAUUGAAGCUAUGGUGAUCCCGAUUAGUGCAGUAGCGAGUCCUGUCUCACCAUUACGCUGCCUUCUGAUGGUGGUCAGGUGAGGCUCAUAGUUAUCCAGGGUGCUGCCAAGGCUAGAGCUUGAUGCAUCAAUCCUGAAGUCCCACCUGAUUGCCCAAUAAAAGAUAAAUCUCAGGGGGCUGAGAAACGUGCCCUUCAGUUCACGUGUAUUAUCCUCAAGGGGAACAUUAUUGCUUUACAAGCUUGGAUUCUUUGUUCUGAACCCUAACUGUAAACCAGGAAUUGGGGCUGAGAGCUUCUUCCACGCACAGCCCUAGGCUCGGCUCUGCAUCCAAGCUCCGCUUUCUAGAAGUGCUUAUAUUAUUAACCAGGCUGCAGCCGGAAUUCGCUAGAAACCACAAUGUGGGCUACUGCUUUGCGGAAGGAAGAGGAGCGAAGGACGAGGCUGCCCCCUAGUGGGAAAGCCACAAGAAGCAGCGACGCUUCCAAUCAGCUCACACCUUGAAGUAUUGCAAGGAGAUGAAUGGGCUCCGCAUUUCCAGCUUCAGGGACUCCAUUUCAGAGUCGCUGGGGAGGAUAUUGGGGUGCAGAUUCUUUUACCAUUACGGAGUGGUGGUAUGGCGUUGAGAAAUAAGAAUAGGCGAACAUCUUAUCUACUAACGUCUAGCCUCUAUAAACAGCCCCUGGUUAAAUCCAGAUUCCGGGUCCUGGUUGGGAGAUUUUGAUUUAGCAGGGCAGGAAUGGGAAACAAGGGAGGGUUUGGGUUUUAAAUCAGCGUGAUUCUGAUCAUCUCGCAAAUUUGAAUAUUCUGCGCUGGGAGGCGACUUUCUGUUUCACUUUCCCAGACCCGGGUCAGGGGCCAAGCCCUUGCAAGUCGAGAGACCCAGGACUUGCUCUCUUCCCUCUGCGUUCGCGCAGCCUCCAGCUGUAUCUCCGGCGUCGCGAGGGUAGCCAGACCCAGCCAGCCUCCCCGGGAUCCGCCCACCAGCCGCGGUUUCCAUGGCGACCCGAUGGCGCCGCGUUCCGCAGCCUUAGGGCGGGGCAAGGGGCGGAGACCUAUCUCUCUCUCCAGGCGCUCAGCGCCCGACAUGCAAGUGGGAAGGGGAUUCUCGUCCAGGACGAUUCAAAUACUUCGGACAGACUCACCGACUGCCCGGCUGAGAGAAUCUGUGAGGUCUACCUGCCUAGCAGUUUGCCUUUGCACGGUCCUCCCGUGAGGAGUGAGAACACACAGUCUUCACAAAAUAGAAGUAUUUGGCUGCCUUGCUCUUACCACCAGGAGUGUAGGAUCCUUGGCCCUGCAAUGCCUGCACCUGAAGACCCUGAACAUCGGGAGCGUCCCCAAGGUUUCUGAGGCCUGCCUGGUCAGGAGCCUGGAAAAUUUAUGAGAAGUAACUGUGCUUAAUGUUGCUGUCUUCACAAUGGUGAGACUCUCUGGACUCAGAAUGACUUUUUCAGUUGUUUCCGUGUUUCUAUAUUGCCAGAAUAUAAGGCUAGUAAUGCUUUUGUAGCUUUUUCAUGUCAUCGUGAGUUAAUGAACUGAAAUGCACAUUUAAAGGGGGACAGAAUCUCCUAGUAUCUGUGUGAUAAGAAGGGUUUGCACACUGGGUUAUGACUACUCAAAAAAAGAAAUAUUUGAAACUGGAGAAGCAAAUAUAAUUCUCCUAAGGAAAUAUUGCUAUUUAGUAGGUAAUAUAUCUAAUAGUUGACCAAUCAACUGAAUCUUUUGCCAUUUGUGUAACUGAACUAACAUUUACAGGAAUCAAUAAAAUUACAAAAAACAUAAGAGAUGUUAACAGUGAUAAUAGUUAUCAUUUAUUGAGCCUAUUCUAUGUUCCAGGAACUGUACAAGGCACUUAUUAUAAUAUUAUUUCAUUAACUUCCUCUCUUCCUUGUGUCAGAAGUAGCAGCAUCUCCAAUUUGCAGGCAGAAUGAUUGAGGUUCUAGGAGUUGCAAGAGGUAUGGUACAGGCCACAAAGCUAGCAAGCAUAGAUCCAGGCUUUCUGAUUUGCUAUCACGAAAUCUCAUUGACUUCCUUCUGUAUGGAAGGAGGGGGCUAUACUUCUCCUUCCAAAUAUGAUUAGUUAAAAGUGAUAUGAACAUGGGAUGGGCUGAUUUUCAUAAAUUGAAUAUUGAUUCACAUAAUAUUCUGUGAAUUUAGAGUGGAGAGUAUUUCUGGCUGAGAACAGAUGAUCACCAUGUGACUUUUGUAAGCUUUGUAAUAUUGGUUGGUUGAAAGCCAGUGAAAAGAUGUUCUGAUGUAAACAGCUGAAUGAAAAUUUUAUGAGUUCAGUUUUAUCUUUUACUAGCUUCAUCUGGGGCUCUGAACUGUUCUUGCCUUGAAUGCUCUCUGAAGAAGCAAUGAGAGAACAGUACUACAUUUCUUUUUCUUUUUAAUAGAAAUGUCAUAUACUUGAAAGAAAUUAUUCAUUAAAAGUUGAAAGUCUGUUCUCAGCUUGCUAGAUGAUUUAGAUACGUUUGGGAAAGUCUUUCACAAGCUCAAAGUUCUGGGAAGAAAUAAACUCUCAUUCUUAGUCUGUUUUCACUCAAAACUGCAAAACACACAGCAACAGUAGCUUAAUCUUACUCAAUUUCUAGACAUUCACUUUUAAUGCAUGAAAAACUCUUAAAUUAACAAUAUGUACAUAAUGUUGGAUUGCUUGAUAUCUUAAAUAAGAUGAUAGAUGCUGUGCUACUGCUUGCUGCUUAAAUUCUUAGCGUCUAGUUUCAUAAAUGCUGUAUCACCAUAAUAUUUGAGGUCACUUAAUUAAUUUAAGCAUAAUAUGGGAUAAGCACUUCCAUGACUCUCUGAUUUUUAUUUUGGGGAUUUUACAAUGGUGAUUCUGCAGAUUCUGGCAGUAAAGUAUGCAAGCUCACAAAUUUAGAGGCCACCCCCAAAAUGUCUUUGGGGGUGCUCCAGGUGCUGCUCAUGAAGCAAAGCACAGUUCCUGGGACAAGUUCAGUGCUUCAUAAAUUUGUGCUAAGGACUAGGCUGAGACCACGUCGUCAAGGCCAUCUCAUAGCAAAUUAUGUAUAAAUUAAAAUUUUGUGAAUGAAGUCUCAUUUCAACUACUGAGUGAGGGCUUGUUAUAUUUAGGAACUAUGCCUCAAAUUAUUUGUAAAAUGAAUAGCUGCUUCCUGAUUUGCCUGCUAUAUAAGUUUGACUUUCUCUGACAAAAAAUUAAAGGGUGGAUCACCUGAGUAUAUGAGAAAAUAACUUAGCAUAACAUGGUAUGGUGAACAGGAUCUCGCCUGUGAUUUUCCAUCUUUUUAUGCACUGGAACAUCAGACCCUUUCUGUGAUGUUCUCUGAAUGCCAGACUUUUCAAUACAUUCUUAAAAGAGUCACCAUGAAAAAAAACAUGCUAACUUUGCCCUUGAGAUUUCAGCCUUUGAAGUUUAAGGUUUUACAAGUAGGCUUUUGUAGUCACUUAUGUAGAGAUCAUAAGUGUGUAUGUGUGUGUGUGUGGGUAUAUAUAUAUGCACUUAAAUCAGACUAUAACAAGUACGGGGAAUAUUAGCACAUCAUAAUGAGGCAUCAUAGAUAUAUGGAUAAAUAGAACAUAUGUAGAUAUAUGGAAAGACAGAGACAGAAAUGUCAGGGUGCAUGAAGGAUAUAGAGGGUUUGAUUAUCCUUUCUCUGUGGGUGUGUACAUCUACAAUAAGCCACUAUUCUCAGAUCCUGCUCCAUUAUAAAUUAUGAGAGGAAAAAUCUGGGUGUGUGUUCAGUUCCUAGAACCAUCUGAUAUGAUUUGCCUCUGGGUCACCACCUGAAUCUCACCUUGAAUUGUGGUAAUCCCCAUGUGUUAAGGACGGGGCCAGAUGGAGAUAAUUGAAUCAUGCGGGAGUUUCUCCCCUACUGUUCUCGUGGUGGUGAGAAAGUCUCACGCGAUCUGAUGGUUUUAUAAAUGAGAAUUCCCUGCACAAGCUCCCUCUUUGACUGCUGCCAUGUAAGACAUGACUUUGCUCCUCCUUGCCUUCCACCGUGAUUGUGAAGCCUUCCCAGCCAUGUGGAAGUGUGAGUCAAUUAAGCCUCUUUCUUUUCUAAGUUACUCAGUCCUGGGUAUGCCUUUAUCAGCAGUGUGAGAAUGCACUGAUACAUCAUCUUAGUUGCAAUUAGGCACUUAAUAAUUUUAUGAUUAUAAUGAUAUUAGGGAGAUAAAUAAAAUCUGUCAACAGAGUAGAAAGUAGUCAUAAACAUGAGGGUUAAAAAUAUAAACAUAGUGAACAGUAGUUAAACUAAGCAGAAAAAUCACAUUAAAAUCGUGGGAUUAAUCAUAGGUUAGAUUUGAUUUUUUCUGUGUUUAUAAUCUUCCAGUUUGGUAUAUUUUGAUCUUUUAGUAACACUUCAAUUUCUUAGUGUUUUACAACUCAUUUUAUUCUAAUAAUAAUUGUAAAUGAACCCUAUUAGGCCUAAACUUGUUAUUAAUCUUAGAAUCUUACUACCAACUAUAUUUUAUAUCACUAGUAUUACCAAGGUCUCUCUUACUUGCUGAUUGUAUUAAUAGAGAACCUGGGUGCUUGUAUAAGAUGACUGACUCUUAUUAGUUUAGCUCUGAACUGAAAGUUCAUUCAGUAUGGACUCUGGAGCCAUCAGCCCUAGAUCUGACUGUAGCUUUGUUGUUUACUUAGGGAUAACCUCAAUGAGACAUUUAACUCUCAGACUCACAAUUUUCUUAUUUGUAAGAAAUAAGAAAUAACAUCUAUUUUUGUAGGACUAUUGUAAGCACUAGAACUAGUGUCUAUAGGAGGCCUACCUAGGAAUCUGGCAUACUUAGGCACUUCUCAACUGGGAACCAUAAAUAUGAUGACGAUGACGAUGACGAUGAUGAUGUUGACGAUGCUAACUCAUCUGAACAAAUUCAUAUCAUGCCUCUAGCACACUUGAUUCAUUGCCCUGUCCUCUAUGUGCAGAAAGAUUUGAACUUGAAAACAAGUCCUUGUUUGUUUCCUCCUGUAGGUGAGGGAUCAGCUUGCCCAUAUCAUUGUGACACAGUGUCAUUAACUGGACAGCCUGGUCCUCAGCUCCUGUCCUCAAGUAACAGGCAUGAGCUUGGUGGAAAUCAGCACGAAUCUGCGAGCCCUCAGGUACUUUUUUCUGUGUAAGCAUCCCAACCAGACCCCAGCAAAGGCACCCCAGUGUUCUUUAAGAUAAUGGGUUUGGUCUUUUGAUUUUUCUUUAUUUAAAUCACCCAAAUAGAAAUCUAGUUUAUGUUAUCUUUAGUGUCUUUUUAUAGCUCAUUCUUGUAAUCUUAGAUCACUGUUAUGAUCAGAAAAUUCUAUGAAAAUCUAGGGAAGGCAAAACUUCUCUAGAUACUUAGAGCUUAUUGUGUUUGACCAAGCAGAUGUGGGGAGGAUAGAAAACAGAAUUAUUUUCUUGCUUAAAAAAGGGAGACUUGGGAUAAGGCACAAUGUGACCGGAAUUGCACUGGUAUGUUUCUUCUUUAUAACAGCAAACUCCACAGAAGUGUCCUCUCAACUAGUUGUCCAAUUCUUGUUCUACAGAUAGGAGAAGGGAAGCUAAGUGUGCCCACUUGUGAAAAGCCUCUAUUAAGU
Molecule: long non-coding RNA, 5640 nt
Organism: Macaca mulatta (Rhesus monkey)
Lineage: Eukaryota; Metazoa; Chordata; Mammalia; Primates; Cercopithecidae
Source: Ensembl